UUUUCAUUUGCAUCUCUUCAUUUGCAUGGAGUUGGUAUUUUCUGAGGACUGUCUAAAAUAAUGCCAAGGUACUUUGCUUUCCAGCCAAGGGGUCUGUAGCACCAACUUAACUCCAUGUGCUGUGGAGGGUUUGGGUUAGUUCUGUUUGUUUUACAUUACUUUUCAUGUAUUGGUACCAAAUUUCACCUGUGGAUUUACUACGCAUUCACCAUUGUAAAGCUUCUCUUCAGUCUCCUUUCUUUUGAGCUGCUUUGAAUAAUACUGUGUUGGCAGCAGCAUCAUUUUUGUCCCCUUUUCCAGGUCAUUUAAGUUUUAUAGCACAGAUUAUUGGGGAAGGGAGGGGGUGAGCAUCCAUAGCCACUGUUACAAAACCUGCUUGUGACUACUUGGUAUCACUUUCCUAGUCUCUCACUUUUGGUAUAUGCUGUUAAGAACCUCUUGAGAACAUGUAAACAAAAUAACAGAAGAAACAUGAUGGAAAAUAAUCUACUAUAACAAAAACCCACCAGGAUAGACACAGAGAAAGUGUGAUAGUUAUAUUUAUUUGGUUUAUCUACCAUUCCACUCUUCAGGUAACCAUCUCUGACAAGUCCUAAAAUUGGAGAUUUUUACCCACUUCAGACUGGGAGCCACCAAGUACUCAGAGGCUACACGUCAGCUGAUUCCUACCAUCCUGCCUCAGUAUGAGGUAGUAGCUUUAGUUUCCUGCUCUAAAAUGAGGAAGACCAGCAAAAAACUUAUGGUCAUUUGUUUUUUUGCUGGUGCAUAAUUUGGGUCAGCUGUAGUAGAAUAACACAACCUGAGCUUUAGCUGUGCAGUGAUUCAAACCAGGCUAAGACCUAUCAUACUGAUUUGAAAAGAAGGAUGUAGUGCUUGGAGGCACUUUUUCCCACCCCGCAAGAACUAUGUACUGGAAAAAUCCAAAUUGCAUGUAUUUCUCUAGGUGUAACUGUACCUUAUGGCUGCUUUUAGGGCCCUCAGCUCCUCCCUCAUGUGGAAAGAAUUAACCUGCUCAUUGGUGGGAGCCUUGGACCACAGUGCCCAGCAGUGGCUGCACCUCUAACGGACCUUCUCUUGAUGCUGCAGGACAAGCCAUUGGCAACGCUAGUGUUUCUGUUGGGAUGCCUGCACUCCCUGGCCAGGCAUUGUCUGUCUGGUAACCAGUUUCCUGGAAAAGCAUGGAUUUCUAAGCAACCUAGGAAGGGAAACAGUGCUUGGAAGGUCAGGCUGUUCAUAGUGUUGAAGGGAGCAGGGGCUGAGGAUGGCUAUGUGGUCAUAUGUAAAAGAGAAGGGUGACUGGACUGUGCAGCUCUAGAAGGCAGCUAAAGAUUUAAAUCGACUUCUUUAGUGUUUUAGUUUCUUUUGGUGUCACUUAAAAAGGAAUGCUUUAAAUCUUGGCCAAGGUGGUAUGCUUGGAAACCAGGUUUAAUAUUUAUAUUUCUUCCUGCUCCUACCUCUCAUGCUUAGUUUUUUAUUAACCAUUGCUUUUACCAGCAAAAUGGCAUUUUCAAUCACAACUGGGUAGAUCAAACUUGGAAGUGAAACAAUGUCCUGUGAAGUUCCUCAGAGAUGGGUGUUUAUCUGCUUUAUGUACAUAGCAACAGCAUAUUCCUGAUUGUGGGAACAGGUAUGCACAUGUCUUCGUACUUGGAUAUACACUGCAUUUAUGUGUAUAUCCACUACUUACAGUGAAAUCCAGGGAGUGAUUUGUGUGUAUGUGGCAGUUGGUCAAAUCUAAAAGUCUGUUCAAGUCCAUUGGGUUAUGCAGAGGGCAAAAUAACCCAGAUGCAUAAAAGAGAGGAGCAAAGCAAGCAUUCUGAUCCAAAAAAGGUGUGCUGCAGAAACUCUUCUUAGCUUUAUUCUGUUUUGAGUAGCAAACUUUACUUCCAUGUCAUUACAGCUGUUAAAUCACCUUUUUCCCCAACUUUGCCAUUCUCAUCCUCAGAGCUGGAAAAAGAAAACAAAGCCAUUGCAUUUUCAGACUAGCUUCCUCUUUCUGACACUAAAUCUUUAUAUAGAGAAAUGAAGAAUUACACGUACCUCCAGUGAUUAAUCCAGCAGAAUAAGCAUUGGUUUAGUGUUACAGAAAGAAAUCGGUAGAAAGCAUUAGUUCUGGUAAUUUUGCAAGAAAGAGGUAUAUUAAGAAAUAUUAAGAAAUGGCUCCAGUAUUACUAUUUGAAGAUUAGCACAGCUUUUCUAACCGUUCCCUUCCCUAAUGCCCUGCAGACAGCUGGUAUUGUCCUUGACUGAUACAAAGGAUGCAUGAAUAAUUAAACAAACUCUUUGUUUAAUCUAAACUCCUCAGUGAGAGCUGUAACUGUUUGGAAGCCUUUUUAGCUUCGUGUUGAUGUUCACAGAAAACUUUCCUGUCUUCCUGGUGUAGUGAGUCAGUGUUAGUCAUAUUGCUAUGAUUUAAGUCCGACAGAGUGACUUACUAUCUGUAUAAACUUCAGCAUGGCUGUUGUCUGUAACGGGGGAUAACGUGGGUUAGUUUGAAAGUGACAGUGGAGGGCAGAAGAUUAAAUGUUAAGGUUAUUUUUAGAACAGCAAUAGAAGGUUGCUGUUUGAUAUGUAAGAGCUCCCCCCACCACGUAGUUGAUCUGCGAAUCCUCUCCAGCCCUCUGACCUCUUAGUUUGAAGAGUCGCCCAAAAUAGCAUCUCUCGUCCCUUCAUCCUGCACAUGUCCCUGUACUGAGAGACAGGGGCGUCAAAGCAGCUGUUUGCUUGAUUUAUGCAUGUCAGCAAAUGCCCAACUGGAGCUAUGUUUUGAAUGCUAAAGUUGUUGCAAAUCAUAGAAGCAUCUGAGUGUAACUUUAUAUCGUAGGGCCACUGAUGUUAAGCUUAGCUCUUACAAAGACCCUGCGUACUGUUUGCAGACUAGGGAGUUCUGAAGGAUUCAAGUCCUGCCUGUGGUUUGAGAGAACAAUCAGCCUGAUGCUUUACUGAGAGCCAUUAGUCCCUUUUUGCCUUGCUCUAUGCUUUACAGAAACAUGGUGUGCAUGAAUCUUUCUUGGCGAAAAAGCUUUUUUGUCCAUUAUUCUUUGACACAAAGGUGUGUUUUUGAAGGUUACACGGCUUCCAGUGGUAAGGAAAAAAAAUAGCUCAUCUAGACCUGCCAUAAAGCCUUGGACCUUCAUGCCCCAUGAGAGUCUGUUCCACACUGUUAGUAGGUUUUACUGCCUGUUCAGCUUCAGUUUUUCCUUGCCUUAUUCAUUCUGCUGUGUCUAGCCUUUGUUUCCCCCCAAGGACUUUUAAUUUCCCUAAUGAGUAUUGAAUCUUCAAAACAUUUGCACACUGAUGGAAAUUUAAAGAGGAAAAUAAGCUCUAAUAAUGCAAACCACUGGUGUCCUAAUUAUAGCAUUGUCAUCCUUCUCUCUGUAAGGUUUUUCUGAGGGCAGAUACUUGAAGAUACUGGUCUUGCAACAAGCCUAUGGGGAAAGGAGAAUUGCUUCCAUAUGGAAGGAGGCAAGUCCUACAUUUCUAUCAGUUUGGGGGCAAGCUGAAAGCUCCUAGUUUAAUCUGAUGUUUCUCUGUAUAGAUUGGCACAUGGAACGAUUCCUUUGCCUCCUAGUCAUCCUUGGCCAUCACUAACUCAUUCAGAAACUUGCUCUGAAGGUUCAUUUUUUCCCUAAAGCAAGAUUGCUACAUAAGGGAUCAUCUCCCUGGUCUGUCCUGUGCUUCCUUCUUUUCCAUUCUCUUAAUGCCUGUUUAAUGUUCAAAUGCUGCAAUUGUCUCCUAAAGCUUUCAUUUCAGAGAGGGUUAUUUUUGCUGCUGUUCUAGUAAUGAAUGGUGAGGUACCAAACCCAAUUUUGACUCCCCUCUUUUCAGUGGUGGCAGUUAGGGUGAACCUCCUGGCCUGGACUAGUGGCUGCCUUUGAAAACAAUUUAUUUCCCUAAGAAACAACUCUGUGUAAUACAUUGUUGUAGAUUUAAGAGGCUUUCCUUGUUUUGUUUCCUUUUUAGAAGUCGCAGUAGGAUUAAAGGACUGCUGGGGAAAAAUUGAGUCACUUCCUGGCUUUUUCCACUGAGCAAAAUGUCCCAGGGAAUGACAAUAAAUAGGUGGAGAGGAUUUGUUCAGGAGCACCCUUGCAAUGGGCUGGAGGAUGAAUGAACUGUCUCAGUAGCAACCAGCUUGUGAGUGAGUGAGUGUUGCUUCUCCAUUAUAUGCCUAUACAUAUGUGAUGGGGGAAUUAGUGGACUAUGCCCAAAAUAUAAUUGGCUGGAACAGUUGUUGGAGUGGUUUAUCUUGCCUGUACCAGCUACUCCUGCUUUCAGUUGCUGGCAGCAGCCUUUGGUCCUGGAGGACACAGGGAAGUGCACAGAUGGCAGAAUUGGUGCUCGAAGGAAGCAAAGGUCCUCUCGAGUGAUAGGGCAUUGCAGUGGCCUCAUUGAUCAGAAAGGCUGGGAAGCACUGCUGGGGUAUUUCUGGCUGUUGUGUGCAUGAUUGCACGAGGCUGAUACUCCACUAAACUGAGAGUGUUCCUUACUGAACAGCUCUUCCUAAUCAGUGCAUACUGAUGCAGAAAUGCCUGAUACCCCUUAGGUAAUGCAGUGACCACCAUCUCUCCUGGCUUUACCUGUACUGUAAAGAAAUGCUGGGCUGCCAAUGGAGCUUUAGGCAGGGCCCAAACUUACUUUUUUGCUGCCAAAAUGUAAAAUAAUUCAGAAUAUAGUCUGGAAGAGGAGGAGGGAGAGAACAUGGGUUCAGGACCCCUGAUCUUCCUGUAAUUCCAGUACAGUGUUCUUUCUCUGAAACAGAAUGUGACUAUGGUCUGAAAUCUGCUGUUCUAUAAAUAUACUUUAAAUGCUGUUUAGUUGUAUACGUUGAAGUGCAACGUGAUGCUAAAGAAGAGCUUUCUGUGUUCCUAGAAGGUCUUGCUAUUGUUCUGUCAACUUUUUAUUAUAAAAUUUUAUACUUAGAAAUAGACACCUUAAAUAUCAAUAGAAUAUAAAAAGUGUUAAGAAAAAAUGACACUAUGGACCAUGUGGACUAACCAGAUGUAAUGAAAACUGUUGUCUUUCAGGGGCUAUAAAAAUACCUAACUCAGAUUAACAAAAGAUGCUAAAACUUGUAUAAACAUUGUCAAGGCAAGGUUGGCAAUGCUGAUCCCAGAGAAAUGCCAAGUAAAGCUCAUUAUUAAACAGUCUUUCUGAUUUAAGGAGUAAUUUGGGAGCAAUUUAAGGAGCAAAUAUCUCUGAAUUGGUUAGAAUGCAGAUAGGCACAAAAAACAUUCCAGUGAGGAGACAGUGUUAAGAAGCAAUGCUGUUAGUUACCUGGUAGAAAUGAAAAUUAAUUCUGCUAAUUGGGGUAGCAUUAAUGUCACUUGAAAGAGAACCACUUUGCAUCUUUGAAGGUUACAGAAAUGGCUUUUCUGAGAGUUUGCUUUCCAAAUUUUGAGCUGGCAACUAGUGCAUUGCUAAAGAUUAAAUAAUUCACCAAACUGCACAUUUGCAUUUGUUAAUAAACAAGAGCAAAGAAGUGAUUAGUAAUUGCGUAUUAGUCCAUGGAACGAUGGUAUUCAAGUGAAACAGUUGCUGGCAGAGAAGAGCAGUAUCAGUUUGCUACAUGAGUGAACAGCAGUGACAAGAUUUUCCUUUCCUGUUACCUGUUAGUGAGGGAUCUUCAGUGCCAUCUCCAGAUCCCUGGCCAUGAAGGUGAGCAUGGUGUGUUGGAGAGCUUAAGCGUUCCUCUUGUUCUUGCAGGGAGAUGGAGUUUUUGUGGGGUACCUUGUUCAAACUUGUGCCCAGACUGCUCACAGGGUUCAUCUGUGGGACUUCUGUGGCCUUCCUGCUCGGUGGCUGAUAAACCUGACUAUAGUGGCCUAUGGGAUGAUAUGCUGGUUUCUCAGAUUUGCUGUCCUCUUCAUCAUCAUCAUCAAUGAUAACUAACUCUGCACGGAUAACCCCAUCGUAUCGCAAUAACUUUUGGUUUGCCUCUGCAUCGUCAUCAUCAAUGCGCUGAUAACCCAUGAAAAUCAUGGUUACUGGUUCAGAAUCAUCCACGUAACAUGGCACAGCUUGGACAAUGCUGUAGUGAGCAUCUUCCUCAUCUUGAGGUGCAGGGGAUGUUUCAUUAAGAUGGCAGGGACUUAAAAACCUUGUCUCAUUAUGUCUUUCUUUGGUACUCUGGUAAGGUUUUAAUUCCUCAUGCGCAGCUUUUCUUCCCUCAUUAUGUAUCAUCCUGUUCUGAGGAUUAGUGUGCACAUUCUUCUCUGAAUGUGAAGGGACUGGAGAGGGAGAUUUUGGCUGUAUUACCUUUGGAAGAUCAAGCCCAUUCUCUUUAUGUUGCUGCAUAAAGGGCUCUGUUUUGGGGGAGAAUUCUGUCUGAUGGUUGCUAAAUCCAUUCAUCUCUCUUCUAUGUGUGUCUUCCAGUUUUGGUCCAGGGACUAAUUUGUCUUUCUGAGGAGUAACUGGCCUGCAAAACUUGUUUGCAAACACAGGCUCAUGGUACUCUGUGGGAGACUGGGAAUUCUUUUCAGUUGCCUGCCGUAGCAGGUCCUCCACCUCCACAGGAGCAAGUUCAUCCACCCCGUUUUGUGUCGUGCUGCCGUUUGAGGACACUGCGUAGACCGACUUCCUGCCAUCGUCAUAGACUUUAAUUCCUGUCUCUUUAAACUCCUUUGAGGGAAGAGGUAUUGUUGAUAACA
Long non-coding RNA from Strigops habroptila (Kakapo), 6647 nucleotides. RefSeq lists it as uncharacterized. The transcript has 3 exons. The record is from RefSeq and is a predicted model, not a curated record. Lineage: Eukaryota; Metazoa; Chordata; Aves; Psittaciformes; Psittacidae.